RNAcentral lists this small RNA (65 nucleotides) under Bacillus massilioanorexius. Its description in RNAcentral is "Bacillaceae-1 RNA". It matches the Rfam family "Bacillaceae-1 RNA". Lineage: Bacteria; Bacillati; Bacillota; Bacilli; Caryophanales; Bacillaceae. The record is from RNAcentral.
AUGAAGGAACAUCGGCUAAAAUCUCCACGCCCUGUAGCAACACCGAUGCGACCUUUAUCCUGUAG